This 575-nucleotide ribosomal RNA is filed under the name uncultured marine eukaryote. RNAcentral's name for it is "SSU rRNA". It matches the Rfam family "Eukaryotic small subunit ribosomal RNA", at positions 613 to 1188 of the family's 1831-position model. The record is from RNAcentral.
UUGCAGUUAAAAAGCUCGUAGUUGGAUUUCUGUGGGGACGGAGCGGCCGGCCGCUACUAGCGGUUCGAGCUAGCGCUUUCCCUACAUCCUGCCGCGAACCGCGCUACCAUUAGUUUGGUGGCGCCGGGGAUCGGCUCGUUUACUUUGAGAAAAAUAGAGUGUUCAAAGCAGGCCACACGCCUUGAAUAAGUUAGCAUGGAAUAAUAACUAAGGACUUCGGUUCUAUUUUGUUGGUGUUCGGGACUGAAGUAAUGAUUGAUAGGGACAGUUGGGGCGGUCCGUAUCCAAAGCGAGAGGUGAAAUUCUUAGACCUUCGGAAGACGAACAGCUGCGAAAGCGUUCCGCAAGGAUGUUCCCUUUGAUCAAGAACGAAAGUUGGGGGAUCGAAGACGAUCAGAUACCGUCGUAGUCUCAACUAUAAACUAUACCAGCUAGGGAUCGGCCAACGUUACUUUAUCCGACUUGGUCGGCACCUUAUGAGAAAUCAAAGCAUCUGGGUUCCGGGGGGAGUAUGGUCGCAAGGCUGAAACUUAAAGGAAUUGACGGAAGGGCACCACCAGCCGUGGAGCCUGUGG